Long non-coding RNA from Macrobrachium nipponense, 910 nucleotides. RefSeq lists it as uncharacterized. The record is from RefSeq and is a predicted model, not a curated record. Lineage: Eukaryota; Metazoa; Arthropoda; Malacostraca; Decapoda; Palaemonidae. The transcript has 5 exons.
AACCAGGCAAAAGGCUGCUGUCGGUCGUGUCGACACAAGGUAUCGACGCGGCGCAGGAACCAGUAGUACUACAGAUCACUGCUGCUCCUCUUCUUCUUUUGACUUGUGAAUCUGUGAAUCUGUGCACUUUGGUUUACGCUCUCUGGACAUAGUAGUCCUUCAUCAGUGAGAUACAUUACCUUUGUGGAGAGAGUUCGUGUGACGUCAAAAGCAACUUCCGAGUUUCGACAUGGCCAAGGACUAUUGGAAAUCGAGGAAAUGGAAGUUGUUCCUUUUGUUCAUCGUCUUUAGCGACGUCGGGGCAUUUCCGGGAGCGAGGUCACCUGAGAUCAAGAAACGGGAGAUCUACCGAGAAGGAGUGCUUCCCGCCCAGGGCGGAGUGAUACCGGAGUGGGCCUUCACGAAUCAACGCCUCAAACACAACAUUCACGAUACCCUUGGAAUAGAAGCUCCUGAUGGCUACCUCUUCGUCGUAAGGGAAACGGACAUACGGCCGGGACCUCGUGAUCCUGAGGAUGAACGCGACAUCUUAACCUUGACCAAUCAUAAGCAACAAGGACAAAUCAACUCCAAAGGCGCCAUCCCGGUGCGACCACAGCCUACGACUUACUUACUUCGGCGUCCGACGCUGGAGGACCUCUACCCUUCCGAGUACAUCGCCAACCACCAAGGACCACCUCUCCUGUUCAAGAGCGCAGCUCACCGCGGUUGGCGCUCGCAACCUUAUUCGGAGCAGAUCUUCGUCACGUAUCCAAGGAGUUCAAAAUACUGAACAGUAUCAGUGUUUCUCAACGCAUAAUGUUAGCCAAUCAUUUUUAACACGGUAGUUGUAGACAAACUACUUGUCCCACAGUUUAAUGUUCUGCUCUUUCGGACUGAAUAGAUACAUCCAAAUCUAAGAACAGUGUUU